AGAGGAAUAGCUGGGUCAAAUGGUGGUUCCAUUCCCAGAUUUCCAAGGAAUCUCCAUACUGCUUUCCAAAUUGGCUGCACCAAUUUGCAGUCCCACCAACAAU
This 103-nucleotide microRNA precursor is filed under the name Marmota monax (woodchuck). Lineage: Eukaryota; Metazoa; Chordata; Mammalia; Rodentia; Sciuridae. The record is from RNAcentral.